CCGUUGAUCCUGCGAGAGACUGCUGCUAUUUGGAUUCGCCUAAGCCAUGCAAGUCGGGUGUCCGCAAGGACUUCCGGCACAAGGCUCAGUAACACGUCGAUAAUCUGCCCUUAGGUCUAUGCGAACCUCGGGAAACUGAGGCUAAACUUGAUAGGGGUUAUGAACUGGAAUGUUCUUCCCCUGAACUAAGGAUGAGUCGGCGGCAGAUUAGGUAGAUGGAGAGGUAACGGCUCACCAUGCCUAAGAUCUGUACGGGCCAUGAGAGUGGUCGCCCGGAGAGGGAUACUGAGAUACUGAUCCCAGCCCUACGGGGUGCAGCAGGCGCGGAAACUUUACAAUGCACGCAAGUGUGAUAAGGGAAUCCAAAGUGCUUACGCUUUGCGUAGGCUUUUGCCAAGUCUAAAUAGCUUGGAGAAUAAGUGGUGGGUAAGACUGGUGCCAGCAGCCGCGGUAACCCCAGCGCCACGAGUGGGAGUCGCUUUUAUUGGGCCUAAAGCGUCCGUAGCCUGUUUUGUAAGUCUUUUGUGAAAUUGUUAGGCUUAACCUAACAGCGCGCAAGAGAUACUGCAUUUCUAGAGACCGGGAGGAGUAUGGGGUAUUCCAUGGGGAACGGUAAAAUGUAAUAAUCCAUGGAGGACCACCAGUGGCGAAGGCGCCAUACUAGAACGGAUCUGACGGUGAGGGACGAAGGCUAGGGGAGCAAAACGGAUUAGAUACCCGAGUAGUCCUGGCAGUAAACUCUGUAUGCUAGGUGUUGCAUUUUCUUGUGAACGUGCAGUAUCGAAGUGAAGACAUUAAGCAUACCGCCUGGUAGUACGGUCGCAAGGCUGAAACUUAAAGGAAUUGGCGGGGGAGCACUACAAGGGGUGCAGCGUGCGGUUCAAUCGAACUCUACGCCGAGAAUCUCACCAGGGGCGACUGCAGAAUGAAGAUCAAGCCGAUGACUUUAUCAGACGAGCAGAGAGGUAGUGCAUGGCCGUCGUCAGCUCGUGCCGCAAGGUGUCCUGUUAAGUCAGGCAACGAGCAAGAUCUGCGUCUACUAUUGCCAGCAGGAGGGUAACCUCGGCUGGGCACAUUGUAGAGACUGCCUUGGAAACAAGGAGGAAGGUGCAGGCAACGAUAGGUCUGUAUGCUCCGAAUCUCCUGGGCUACACGCGCGCGACAAUGGAUAGGACAAUGGGCUGCAACACCGAAAGGUGAAGCUAAUCCUCUAAACCUAUUCUUAGUUUAGAUUGAGGGUUGUAACUCACCCUCAUGACACUGGAAUCCCUAGUAAUCAGAAGUCAUCAUCUUCUGGUGGAUAUGUCCCUGCUCCUUGCACACACCGCCCGUCAAACCAACCGAGCAUAAUUUAGAUGAGGCCGUGCUUAACUGGUACGUUCGAAUCUAAGUUAAGUGAGGUGGGUUAAGUCGUCACAAGGUA
Molecule: ribosomal RNA, 1423 nt
Filed under: metagenome
Description: bacterial SSU rRNA
Rfam family: Archaeal small subunit ribosomal RNA
Source: RNAcentral